Long non-coding RNA from Pollicipes pollicipes, 266 nucleotides. RefSeq lists it as uncharacterized. NCBI's taxonomy places the organism in Eukaryota, Metazoa, Arthropoda, Thecostraca, Pollicipedomorpha, Pollicipedidae. The record is from RefSeq and is a predicted model, not a curated record. The transcript is spliced from 3 exons.
UCCGCCAGGCUCGGCUCGGCCACCUCCUGCCGCCAGGUUACGGCAGUCGACGUCACCGAUGACGGCCGGACGCUGUCGGGUCACAGGUCGGCGGAUGAAAGCCAGGGUCUAGUCGACCCCACGUUGACCCAAAAGCUCCUGUGGCGGAAAGUCCUCAAAUUGACGGCGAUAUCGGCCACGGCAUUGAUCGUCACUGCAGGCAUGAUCUUACUAGGUUUGCUGCUGCUGUGAUGAACGAGGCCCGAUGCCUGACUACAUUUCCCACG